AAAAUUUUAGAGAUGGUUGGCACUUUAAUCUGACAUGGAACAUCCAUUUGGCCUACAUAGAUCCUAUAACAGAAAAAUGGUUCUCUAGCAGUUCUGAUUUGGCCAAAUCAAGACAUCCAAUUUGAGAACAUAAUUUCCAAGGGCAUUGGCACAAGAAUAGCCAAUCAAUACUGCAAAAUAAGUAUAUUUGAUUUAUGUAAACCUAUAUCUGCUUCAUAUGGCAUUAUAGGAUUUCACUGUCCUGGAAAACAAAGGUGGUAGUAUGCUGUUUGGGCAGAAUGAUUUGUAGAUAAAGCUUUCAUUACUAAGAAUUCUAUGUAUUGACAGCUAAGAUUGGUUCCAAGUUCCAAUCUGUCAGGAGUCGGGAGGGUGCUUACCCCAUAGCUAUUAUAAUGCCGUAUGAAGCUAGCUAAUGAUUCUUGCUCUAUUUACAAGACGAGCAUCCCUUGCCAUCGUCUGCCUGUUCAUUUAUCAGUAACAAAUUACAAUUAUAUCCCACAAUUCAACUUUGAAUAGCGUGAUCGAGUUGCAAAGCUCAUCCCCUCUUGCAGAGCUGGUGCUUCUUCUCUUGAAGAAAUGGGCAUUAUACUAGACACUGUUGUAGGUUUGGAGGGAUUGGAACCAACAGCAAUAUGACCUAAACAUGACUGAUCCUUAGUUCUUCAACUUACUUGUUCGCGCCGGCUACACUCAUUUGAUGCCACCUGAUUAUUGAGAAGCUAUGGGUGACAUUGAUCCUUCUUUCGUUCAAGACCAUGAGCAGAGGCCAGAUUUCAAAAGCAUAGAAAUUGAAGAAAUCCCAGUUA
RNAcentral lists this unclassified non-coding RNA (806 nucleotides) under Hevea brasiliensis (rubber tree). The record is from RNAcentral. Lineage: Eukaryota; Viridiplantae; Streptophyta; Magnoliopsida; Malpighiales; Euphorbiaceae.